GUGCAGCCUCAGCCAGCGCUGCCCAGUGCGAGAGGAAGAUGAAGGUGGCUGUGCUCAGCGUGGCCCUGCUCUUCUCCAUCCUGCUGUGCCCCCCAGCACAGGCCAAGGCACUCCUGGAAGGAACCCAAGAUGAUCUCCAGGAGGUGGAUGUAGUCAAUGUCGACAUCCUGAAGACACCUCAGCCUGCUCUGCGUAAAAAGCUGGAGGAAGUUCUGCGGGUGAAGCGCCUGGCUGCCUCUCUGGAUGCCUAGGAUUGCGAGUUGUGGGGAC
Corvus hawaiiensis (hawaiian crow) is the source of this 270-nucleotide long non-coding RNA. RefSeq lists it as uncharacterized. The record is from RefSeq and is a predicted model, not a curated record. The transcript is spliced from 5 exons. Lineage: Eukaryota; Metazoa; Chordata; Aves; Passeriformes; Corvidae.